Molecule: unclassified non-coding RNA, 880 nt
Filed under: Cellulomonas hominis
Lineage: Bacteria; Bacillati; Actinomycetota; Actinomycetes; Micrococcales; Cellulomonadaceae
Description: contains 16S-23S intergenic spacer region
Rfam family: Bacterial small subunit ribosomal RNA
Source: RNAcentral
AAUACGUGAGUAACCUGCCCCUGACUCUGGGAUAAGCCUUGGAAACGAGGUCUAAUACCNGAUACGAGACGCUCGGGCAUCCGAUGCGGUUGGAAAGAUUUAUCGGUCAGGGAUGGACUCGCGGCCUAUCAGCUUGUUGGUGGGGUAGUGGCCCACCAAGGCGACGACGGGUAGCCGGCCUGAGAGGGCGACCGGCCACACUGGGACUGAGACACGGCCCAGACUCCUACGGGAGGCAGCAGUGGGGAAUAUUGCACAAUGGGCGCAAGCCUGAUGCAGCGACGCCGCGUGAGGGAUGAAGGCCUUCGGGUUGUAAACCUCUUUCAGCAGGGAAGAAGCGCAAGUGACGGUACCUGCAGAAGAAGCGCCGGCUAACUACGUGCCAGCAGCCGCGGUAAUACGUAGGGCGCAAGCGUUGUCCGGAAUUAUUGGGCGUAAAGAGCUCGUAGGCGGUUUGUCGCGUCUGCUGUGAAAACUCGAGGCUCAACCUCGGGCUUGCAGUGGGUACGGGCAGACUAGAGUGCGGGGGAGACUGGAAUUCCUGGUGUAGCGGUGGAAUGCGCAGAUAUCAGGAGGAACACCGAUGGCGAAGGCAGGUCUCUGGGCCGCAACUGACGCUGAGGAGCGAAAGCAUGGGGAGCGAACAGGAUUAGAUACCCUGGUAGUCCAUGCCGUAAACGUUGGGCACUAGGUGUGGGGCUCAUUCCACGAGUUCCGUGCCGCAGCAAACGCAUUAAGUGCCCCGCCUGGGGAGUACGGCCGCAAGGCUAAAACUCAAAGAAAUUGACGGGGGCCCGCACAAGCGGCGGAGCAUGCGGAUUAAUUCGAUGCAACGCAAGGGAACCUUACCAANNCUUGACAUACACCGGAAACUUCCAGA